RNAcentral lists this ribosomal RNA (2925 nucleotides) under Escherichia coli. RNAcentral describes it as "23S ribosomal RNA". It matches the Rfam family "Bacterial large subunit ribosomal RNA". Lineage: Bacteria; Pseudomonadati; Pseudomonadota; Gammaproteobacteria; Enterobacterales; Enterobacteriaceae. The record is from RNAcentral.
GGGUUGUGAGGUUAAGCGACUAAGCGUACACGGUGGAUGCCCUGGCAGUCAGAGGCGAUGAAGGACGUGCUAAUCUGCGAUAAGCGUCGGUAAGGUGAUAUGAACCGUUAUAACCGGCGAUUUCCGAAUGGGGAAACCCAGUGUGUUUCGACACACUAUCAUUAACUGAAUCCAUAGGUUAAUGAGGCGAACCGGGGGAACUGAAACAUCUAAGUACCCCGAGGAAAAGAAAUCAACCGAGAUUCCCCCAGUAGCGGCGAGCGAACGGGGAGCAGCCCAGAGCCUGAAUCAGUGUGUGUGUUAGUGGAAGCGUCUGGAAAGGCGCGCGAUACAGGGUGACAGCCCCGUACACAAAAAUGCACAUGCUGUGAGCUCGAUGAGUAGGGCGGGACACGUGGUAUCCUGUCUGAAUAUGGGGGGACCAUCCUCCAAGGCUAAAUACUCCUGACUGACCGAUAGUGAACCAGUACCGUGAGGGAAAGGCGAAAAGAACCCCGGCGAGGGGAGUGAAAAAGAACCUGAAACCGUGUACGUACAAGCAGUGGGAGCACGCUUAGGCGUGUGACUGCGUACCUUUUGUAUAAUGGGUCAGCGACUUAUAUUCUGUAGCAAGGUUAACCGAAUAGGGGAGCCGAAGGGAAACCGAGUCUUAACUGGGCGUUAAGUUGCAGGGUAUAGACCCGAAACCCGGUGAUCUAGCCAUGGGCAGGUUGAAGGUUGGGUAACACUAACUGGAGGACCGAACCGACUAAUGUUGAAAAAUUAGCGGAUGACUUGUGGCUGGGGGUGAAAGGCCAAUCAAACCGGGAGAUAGCUGGUUCUCCCCGAAAGCUAUUUAGGUAGCGCCUCGUGAACUCAUCUCCGGGGGUAGAGCACUGUUUCGGCAAGGGGGUCAUCCCGACUUACCAACCCGAUGCAAACUGCGAAUACCGGAGAAUGUUAUCACGGGAGACACACGGCGGGUGCUAACGUCCGUCGUGAAGAGGGAAACAACCCAGACCGCCAGCUAAGGUCCCAAAGUCAUGGUUAAGUGGGAAACGAUGUGGGAAGGCCCAGACAGCCAGGAUGUUGGCUUAGAAGCAGCCAUCAUUUAAAGAAAGCGUAAUAGCUCACUGGUCGAGUCGGCCUGCGCGGAAGAUGUAACGGGGCUAAACCAUGCACCGAAGCUGCGGCAGCGACACUUAUGUGUUGUUGGGUAGGGGAGCGUUCUGUAAGCCUGUGAAGGUGUACUGUGAGGUAUGCUGGAGGUAUCAGAAGUGCGAAUGCUGACAUAAGUAACGAUAAAGCGGGUGAAAAGCCCGCUCGCCGGAAGACCAAGGGUUCCUGUCCAACGUUAAUCGGGGCAGGGUGAGUCGACCCCUAAGGCGAGGCCGAAAGGCGUAGUCGAUGGGAAACAGGUUAAUAUUCCUGUACUUGGUGUUACUGCGAAGGGGGGACGGAGAAGGCUAUGUUGGCCGGGCGACGGUUGUCCCGGUUUAAGCGUGUAGGCUGGUUUUCCAGGCAAAUCCGGAAAAUCAAGGCUGAGGCGUGAUGACGAGGCACUACGGUGCUGAAGCAACAAAUGCCCUGCUUCCAGGAAAAGCCUCUAAGCAUCAGGUAACAUCAAAUCGUACCCCAAACCGACACAGGUGGUCAGGUAGAGAAUACCAAGGCGCUUGAGAGAACUCGGGUGAAGGAACUAGGCAAAAUGGUGCCGUAACUUCGGGAGAAGGCACGCUGAUAUGUAGGUGAAGCGACUUGCUCGUGGAGCUGAAAUCAGUCGAAGAUACCAGCUGGCUGCAACUGUUUAUUAAAAACACAGCACUGUGCAAACACGAAAGUGGACGUAUACGGUGUGACGCCUGCCCGGUGCCGGAAGGUUAAUUGAUGGGGUUAGCGCAAGCGAAGCUCUUGAUCGAAGCCCCGGUAAACGGCGGCCGUAACUAUAACGGUCCUAAGGUAGCGAAAUUCCUUGUCGGGUAAGUUCCGACCUGCACGAAUGGCGUAAUGAUGGCCAGGCUGUCUCCACCCGAGACUCAGUGAAAUUGAACUCGCUGUGAAGAUGCAGUGUACCCGCGGCAAGACGGAAAGACCCCGUGAACCUUUACUAUAGCUUGACACUGAACAUUGAGCCUUGAUGUGUAGGAUAGGUGGGAGGCUUUGAAGUGUGGACGCCAGUCUGCAUGGAGCCGACCUUGAAAUACCACCCUUUAAUGUUUGAUGUUCUAACGUUGACCCGUAAUCCGGGUUGCGGACAGUGUCUGGUGGGUAGUUUGACUGGGGCGGUCUCCUCCUAAAGAGUAACGGAGGAGCACGAAGGUUGGCUAAUCCUGGUCGGACAUCAGGAGGUUAGUGCAAUGGCAUAAGCCAGCUUGACUGCGAGCGUGACGGCGCGAGCAGGUGCGAAAGCAGGUCAUAGUGAUCCGGUGGUUCUGAAUGGAAGGGCCAUCGCUCAACGGAUAAAAGGUACUCCGGGGAUAACAGGCUGAUACCGCCCAAGAGUUCAUAUCGACGGCGGUGUUUGGCACCUCGAUGUCGGCUCAUCACAUCCUGGGGCUGAAGUAGGUCCCAAGGGUAUGGCUGUUCGCCAUUUAAAGUGGUACGCGAGCUGGGUUUAGAACGUCGUGAGACAGUUCGGUCCCUAUCUGCCGUGGGCGCUGGAGAACUGAGGGGGGCUGCUCCUAGUACGAGAGGACCGGAGUGGACGCAUCACUGGUGUUCGGGUUGUCAUGCCAAUGGCACUGCCCGGUAGCUAAAUGCGGAAGAGAUAAGUGCUGAAAGCAUCUAAGCACGAAACUUGCCCCGAGAUGAGUUCUCCCUGACUCCUUGAGAGUCCUGAAGGAACGUUGAAGACGACGACGUUGAUAGGCCGGGUGUGUAAGCGCAGCGAUGCGUUGAGCUAACCGGUACUAAUGAACCGUGAGGCUUAACCUUACAACGCCGAAG